UGGGAAGGUGGGGGUCCCACUGGGUUGU
This 28-nucleotide small RNA is filed under the name Bombyx mori (domestic silkworm). Its description in RNAcentral is "ovarian small RNA-34985". Lineage: Eukaryota; Metazoa; Arthropoda; Insecta; Lepidoptera; Bombycidae. The record is from RNAcentral.